AUUGAACGCUGGCGGCGUGCUUAACACAUGCAAGUCGAGCGGUAACAGGUGUAGCAAUACAUGCUGACGAGCGGCGAACGGGUGAGUAAUGCUUCGGAAUCUUCCUCGUAGUGGGGAACAACCUGGGGAAACUCAGGCUAAUACCGCAUACGAACUACGGUUGAAAGCAGGGGAUCGCAAGACCUUGCGCUAUGAGAUGAGCCGAAGUCGGAUUAGCUAGUUGGUGAGGUAAAGGCUCACCAAGGCGACGAUCCGUAGCUGGUCUGAGAGGACGACCAGCCACACUGGGACUGAGACACGGCCCAGACUCCUACGGGAGGCAGCAGUGGGGAAUAUUGGACAAUGGGCGCAAGCCUGAUCCAGCGACGCCGCGUGUGUGAAGAAGGCCUGCGGGUUGUAAAGCACUUUCGGCCGGGAAGAAAUACGCCUUGGUUAAUACCUGAGGUGGAUGACGGUACCGGAAGAAGAAG
RNAcentral lists this ribosomal RNA (470 nucleotides) under uncultured bacterium. Its description in RNAcentral is "bacterial SSU rRNA". It matches the Rfam family "Bacterial small subunit ribosomal RNA", at positions 29 to 490 of the family's 1533-position model. The record is from RNAcentral.